GACGAACGCUGGCGGCGUGCCUAACACAUGCAAGUCGAGCGGAAAUAUUCUGAAGAGUAAUCGGAAGGAUAUUUUAGCGGCGGACGGGUGAGUAACACGUGGGCAACCUGCCCUGUACAGGGGGAUAACACUGGGAAACUAGUGCUAAUACCGCAUGAUACGCGAAGAUGGCAUCAUUUUUGCGUCAAAGGAGAAAUCCGGUACAGGAUGGGCCCGCGUCCGAUUAGCUAGUUGGUGAGGUAAUGGCUCACCAAGGCGACGAUCGGUAGCCGGAUUGAGAGGUUGAACGGUCACAUUGGGACUGAGACACGGCCCAGACUCCUACGGGAGGCAGCAGUGGGGAAUAUUGCACAAUGGGGGAAACCCUGAUGCAGCGACGCCGCGUGAAGGAAGAAGGUCUUCGGAUUGUAAACUUCUUUGAAUUGGGGACGAAAUAUGACGGUACCCAAGGAACAAGCCACGGCUAACUACGUG
This 474-nucleotide ribosomal RNA is filed under the name uncultured bacterium. RNAcentral describes it as "bacterial SSU rRNA". It matches the Rfam family "Bacterial small subunit ribosomal RNA", at positions 28 to 507 of the family's 1533-position model. The record is from RNAcentral.